Molecule: ribosomal RNA, 253 nt
Filed under: uncultured bacterium
Lineage: Bacteria
Description: partial 16S ribosomal RNA
Rfam family: Bacterial small subunit ribosomal RNA
Source: RNAcentral
UACGUAGGGGGCGAGCGUUGUCCGGAGUUACUGGGCGUAAAGGGCAUGCAGGCGGUCCGACACGUUUUGUGUGACAGCGGGUGGCUUAACUACCCGAGCAUGCGAAAGACGGUUGGACUUGAGGACUCGAGAGGGACACGGAAUUCCGGGUGGAGUGGUGAAAUGCGUAGAGAUCCGGAGGAACACCGAAGGCGAAGGCAGUGUCCUGGCGAGUGACUGACGCUGAGGUGCGAAAGCCAGGGGAGCGAACGGG